This 85-nucleotide transfer RNA is filed under the name Felis catus (domestic cat). It matches the Rfam family "tRNA". From Rfam's summary of the family: Transfer RNA (tRNA) molecules are approximately 80 nucleotides in length. Their secondary structure includes four short double-helical elements and three loops (D, anti-codon, and T loops). Lineage: Eukaryota; Metazoa; Chordata; Mammalia; Carnivora; Felidae. RNAcentral also lists the same sequence under 2 other names. The record is from Rfam by way of RNAcentral.
GCCUGGGUGGCUCAGUCAGUUAAGCGCCAGACUUCGGCUCAGGUCAUGACCUCACAGUUUGUGGGUUCAAGUCCCGUGUCAGGCU